CAGUCGCCGCGGUAAUACGUAGGUGGCAAGCGUUGUCCGGAAUUAUUGGGCGUAAAGGGCUCGCAGGCAGUUUCUUAAGUCUGAUGUGAAAGCCCCCGGCUCAACCGGGGAGGGUCAUUGGAAACUGGGAAACUUGAGUGCAGAAGAGGAGAGUGGAAUUCCACGUGUAGCGGUGAAAUACGUAGAGAUGUGGAGGAACACCAGUGGCGAAGGCGACUCUCUGGUCUGUAACUGACGCUGAGGAGCGAAAGCGUGGGGAGCGAACAGGAUUAGAGACCCCGGUAGUCCCUGUCUCUUAUAC
RNAcentral lists this ribosomal RNA (301 nucleotides) under uncultured bacterium. RNAcentral's name for it is "partial 16S ribosomal RNA". It matches the Rfam family "Bacterial small subunit ribosomal RNA", at positions 509 to 807 of the family's 1533-position model. The record is from RNAcentral.